This 74-nucleotide transfer RNA is filed under the name Chloroflexota bacterium. Its description in RNAcentral is "Chloroflexi bacterium tRNA-Gln". It matches the Rfam family "tRNA". Rfam says of the family: Transfer RNA (tRNA) molecules are approximately 80 nucleotides in length. Their secondary structure includes four short double-helical elements and three loops (D, anti-codon, and T loops). RNAcentral also lists the same sequence under 2 other names. The record is from RNAcentral. Lineage: Bacteria; Bacillati; Chloroflexota.
UGGGGGAUCGUCUAGUGGUAGGACAGCUGACUCUGGAUCAGUAAGCGGGGGUUCGAAUCCUCCUCCCCCAGCCA